This 352-nucleotide unclassified non-coding RNA is filed under the name soil metagenome. Its description in RNAcentral is "partial contains 5.8S ribosomal RNA, internal transcribed spacer 2, and large subunit ribosomal RNA". The stretch from base 1 to 120 matches the Rfam family "5.8S ribosomal RNA", at positions 35 to 154 of the family's 154-position model. The record is from RNAcentral.
GAUGAAGAACGCAGCGAAAUGCGAUAAGUAAUGUGAAUUGCAGAAUUCAGUGAAUCAUCGAAUCUUUGAACGCACAUUGCGCCCGCCAGUAUUCUGGCGGGCAUGCCUGUUCGAGCGUCAUUACAACCCUCAGGCCCCCGGGCCUGGCGUUGGGGAUCGGCGGAGCCCCCCGUGGGCACACGCCGUCCCCCAAAUACAGUGGCGGUCCCGCCGCAGCUUCCAUCGCGUAGUAGCUAACACCUCGCGACUGGAGAGCGGCGCGGCCACGCCGUAAAACACCCAACUCUUCUGAAGUUGACCUCGAAUAAGGUAGGAAUACCCGCUGAACUUAAGCAUAUCAAUAAGCGGAGGA